This 528-nucleotide ribosomal RNA is filed under the name uncultured bacterium. RNAcentral describes it as "bacterial SSU rRNA". It matches the Rfam family "Bacterial small subunit ribosomal RNA", at positions 777 to 1304 of the family's 1533-position model. The record is from RNAcentral.
AAUAGAUACCCGGGUAGUCCACGCCGUAAACGUUGGGCGCUAGAUGUGGGGACCAUUCCACGGUUUCCGUGUCGCAGCUAACGCAUUAAGCGCCCCGCCUGGGGAGUACGGCCGCAAGGCUAAAACUCAAAGGAAUUGACGGGGGCCCGCACAAGCGGCGGAGCAUGCGGAUUAAUUCGAUGCAACGCGAAGAACCUUACCAAGGCUUGACAUAUACGAGAACGCUCUAGAAAUAGAGAACUCUUUGGACACUCGUAUACAGGUGGUGCAUGGUUGUCGUCAGCUCGUGUCGUGAGAUGUUGGGUUAAGUCCCGCAACGAGCGCAACCCUCGUUCUAUGUUGCCAGCGGUUCGGCCGGGAACUCAUAGGAGACUGCCGGGGUCAACUCGGAGGAAGGUGGGGAUGACGUCAAAUCAUCAUGCCCCUUAUGUCUUGGGCUUCACGCAUGCUACAAUGGCCGGUACAAAGGGCUGCAAUACCGUAAGGUGGAGCGAAUCCCAAAAAGCCGGUCUCAGUUCGGAUUGAGGU